RNAcentral lists this ribosomal RNA (253 nucleotides) under uncultured bacterium. RNAcentral's name for it is "partial 16S ribosomal RNA". It matches the Rfam family "Bacterial small subunit ribosomal RNA", at positions 524 to 776 of the family's 1533-position model. The record is from RNAcentral.
UACGUAGGGACCAAGCGUUGUUCGGAUUUACUGGGCGUAAAGGGCGCGUAGGCGGCAACUCAAGUCAGCUGUGAAAUCUCCGGGCUUAACUCGGAACGGUCAGCUGAUACUGCUUUGCUAGAGUGCAGAAGGGGCAAUCGGAAUUCUUGGUGUAGCGGUGAAAUGCGUAGAUAUCAAGAGGAACACCUGAGGUGAAGACGGGUUGCUGGGCCGACACUGACGCUGAUGCGCGAAAGCCAGGGGAGCGAACGGG